RNAcentral lists this ribosomal RNA (511 nucleotides) under Metriomantis sp. MN543. Its description in RNAcentral is "partial 16S ribosomal RNA". It matches the Rfam family "Bacterial large subunit ribosomal RNA", at positions 1829 to 2600 of the family's 2925-position model. Lineage: Eukaryota; Metazoa; Arthropoda; Insecta; Mantodea; Mantidae. The record is from RNAcentral. RNAcentral also lists the same sequence under 1 other name.
GGUUUCUAGGCUAGAGAAUUAGAGAUUUAACCUGCCCACUGAUUAAUUAAAGGGCCGCAGUAUUUUGACUGUGCAAAGGUAGCAUAAUCAUUAGUUUUUUAAUUGAAGGCUAGUAUGAAUGGUUGGACGAGAUAAAAUCUGUUUUAUAUUAAUAUAUUGAAUUUAUAUUUUAAGUAAAAAGACUUAAAUAUUGUUAAGGGACGAGAAGACCCUAUAGAGUUUAAUAAGUAAUUUUUUUUAAUUAAGUUUUUAAAAAGUUUAGAUUAUUAUAAGUCUUAUUUAAUUGGGGUGAUGAGAAAAUAAGAAGAACUUUUCUUUAAAAUAAAUAUUAAUUAAUAAUUAUUUGAUCCAUUAUUAGUGAUAAGAAGAUAAAAUUACCUUAGGGAUAACAGCAUAAUUUUUUUUAAGAGUUCUUAUCGAAAGGAAAGAUUAUGACCUCGAUGUUGGAUUAAGAUAAAUUUUGGGUGUAGAUGUUCAAGAAUUAGGUCUGUUCGACCUUUAAAAUCUUACA